Molecule: non-coding RNA, 73 nt
Organism: Cordylochernes scorpioides
Lineage: Eukaryota; Metazoa; Arthropoda; Arachnida; Pseudoscorpiones; Chernetidae
Source: the annotation of a GenBank genome assembly
UUGCUUUUGGUUCAGUGGUAGAAUGCUCGCCUGCCACGCGGCGUACCGGGUUCGAUUCCCGGCAAGCAUUUAA